AGGAGGAGGCUCCGAAAUGACGCGAAGCGGCAUUUAUCGCAUGGAGCCGACGAUAUGCCGCCGAGGCGAAGCUAGGGGGCGAUACCAAGG
Molecule: small RNA, 90 nt
Filed under: unclassified sequences
Description: GA-cis RNA
Rfam family: GA-cis RNA
Source: Rfam by way of RNAcentral